RNAcentral lists this ribosomal RNA (1551 nucleotides) under Triticum aestivum (bread wheat). RNAcentral's name for it is "partial small subunit ribosomal RNA". Lineage: Eukaryota; Viridiplantae; Streptophyta; Magnoliopsida; Poales; Poaceae. The record is from RNAcentral.
AUGACUUUUCUCAGACUGCAUAGCGCCUCAGAGGUGCUAAGCCAAGAGGAGGAAACAUCAUUGUCUAAAUCAAUGAAAGUGUGGCGCGAUUCAAAUGAAACCACAGGUUGUCCAUUUUUUUGGGUCCAUAUAUACUCAGAUUCUUCUGUUGUUAUAAGACAACUUAAGUGCUGGAAAGGUUAUUCGGGCGAUCACCAAAAGCUCCUGUUUGGAUUUUAUGAUCAUGGUCAUCAAGAUUACCCUGGCUGGGCUCUUAGAAACUACAUUGCAUUCCUGAGCCUGCGGUGGAAAAUCGAGAAAGUUCAGUUCUUGUGCUACAGAGAAAGACGUGGGGAACCUGAUCUAGAGAAGUCCCUUAUUGGUGAAGCAUCAUUUGCAGCACCUCAUGGCUGGGAUGGCUCUGAUUAUGUGCCUGAAAUUAUUGGAUGGGAAGGAGAAAAGGCUGGGGAUCGAAAGAAAGAAAAGAUACUGAAACCCAUUGAUCUUGACUCACUGAAUCCAGCAAGCCAGGAUGAAGAAAAACAGGUGAUGCACUUGAAGCUUAUGGGAUGGCGACAUCCCUCUCUUGUUUUAAACAAGUUGCGUAGCGCUCGAUGCCUUGUGUUGGGUGCUGGAGCUCUUGGCUGUGAAGUUUCCCGCUUACUCAUGACCUGGGGUGUACGGAAACUAACAGUGGUUGAUGGUGGUUGUGUUGCCAUUCCUGAUAUAGUCAAACAAUCACUCUACGUAGAUAAUGAUUGUGGUGUCCCAAGAGCCACCGCGAUAGUUCCACAUCUAAAAGAGAGAUGUCCUGCAGUGGAGGUUGAAGGCAUACAGAUGGAAAUACCAGUGCCUGGGAAUCCGGUUUCUAAAACCAAAAUGUCAAGUGUGCUUGAUAAUUGCAAGCGUCUUCAAGCAUUAGUAGCUUCCAGUGAUGUGGUCUUCUUGUUGACUGACACAUGGGAGAGUAGAUGGUUUCCAACUCUACUGUGUGCAAACGAAAAUAAGAUCGCUAUCACUGCAGCAUCAGGAUAUGACAGUUACCUUGUCAUGCGGCAUGGUGCUGGUCCAGGACAUAAUUUAUCUACCGAAGAUGCUCUUGGUCACCAAAGAUUAGGCUGUUGUUUCUGCAACGACUCGACUUCUUUUGUCAAUUUAGUCCUUAAUGAAACAGUAGCCCUGCCUGGGUUGACCUCGAUUGCAUCUGGCAAAGCAGUGGAGCUCUUUGCGAGGAUAUUACAUCAUGAAGAGGGGAUACAUGCUCCAGGAGAUAUUGCUGGUAUGGACACUGAACAUUGGCUUGGUUUAUUGCCGCAUCAGAUGCAAGGAUCACUCCCAGAGUGUGCUUUAUCAACUGUGAUAGGCAAUUCCUCAAACGAUUGUAAUGCAUGUUCCAAUGGUGUAUUGUCUGAAUAUAGAAGAGAAGGAUUGGAUUUUAUUAUGAAAGCCAUCAACCAACCAACAUAUUUAAAGGACCUUACAGGUGUUUCUAAUAAUGUGAUUAAGCUGGACACUUGUUUGACAUUGCCUGUCAGCUUCCCUGUAAAUUCUGGGAAGUUGUCUAGUGUUUGA